UUAAGUUCAGCGGGUAUCCCUACCCGAUCCGAGGUCAACCUGUGAUAAGAGGUUUAACGGCGCGUCCGGUCGUCCUCGCCAGCGAAUUGAAUGACCACAACGCUGAGAUUCGAACCGUCCAGCCGAUGAAUUAGGGGCGCGGGGUCUCCCGACGCCCAAUACCAAGCCAGGCUUGAUUGGUGUAAUGACGCUCGAACGGG
RNAcentral lists this unclassified non-coding RNA (200 nucleotides) under Extremus sp. RNAcentral's name for it is "partial internal transcribed spacer 2". Lineage: Eukaryota; Fungi; Ascomycota; Dothideomycetes; Mycosphaerellales; Extremaceae. The record is from RNAcentral.